This 700-nucleotide ribosomal RNA is filed under the name uncultured bacterium. RNAcentral's name for it is "bacterial SSU rRNA". It matches the Rfam family "Bacterial small subunit ribosomal RNA", at positions 102 to 756 of the family's 1533-position model. The record is from RNAcentral.
AAGGGUGAGUAAUGCAUUGAUAACCUACCUUUGAGAUGGGAACAACAACGUUCCAAGUAAUUGGGGCUACCGAAAGGGUUGCUAAUUCUCAAUAAAAAUGCUGACACUUUGGUGUCGGCAGUCAAAGAAAUGGAUCUGAAAAGGUCCAUUUGCUCAGAGAGGGGUCAAUGUCCUAUCAGCUAGUUGGUAGGGUAAUGGCCUACCAAGGCGAAGACGGGUAGCCGGCCUGAGAGGGUGGUCGGCCACACUGGGACUGAGACACUGCCCAGACUCCUACGGGAGGCUGCAGUCGAGAAUCUUUCGCAAUGCCCGAAAGGGUGACGAAGCGACGCCGCGUGUGGGAUGAAGGCCUUCGGGUUGUAAACCACUGUCGGGAGUUAAGAAUUGUAGGAAUGCUAAUAGUAUUUCUACUUGACUAAGGCUCCGGAGGAAGCCACGGCUAACUCUGUGCCAGCAGCCGCGGUAAUACAGAGGCGGCAAGCGUUGUUCGGAAUUAUUGGGCGUAAAGAGCAUGUAGGCGGCUAUGUAAGUCGGUUGUGAAAGCCUUCCGCUUAACGGAAGAAUGGCGGUCGAAACUGCAUGGCUUGAGUGCGGGAGGGGAGAGUGGAACUUCUGGUGGAGCGGUGAAAUGCGUAGAUAUCAGAAGGAACGUCGGCGGCGAAAGCGACUCUCUAGACCGUAACUGACGCUGAGUGUGCGA